AUAUAAUAUGUGUGGGUGCAAUAAAUGAGUAAGAGGAAAACUUCAGCUAAACACAUACACCGCAUAAAUGUUAAAACAAAUUGAAAAACAGUCUGGUCACUAAGGGGUUAAAACAGAGUUACAAUCAUAUUUUUCUAUCAAUACCUCCCGGAUUCCUCAAUUGAAAACAUCUGGUUGGCCCAUAAGGCUUACAUUAGAGGAACAUUUAUUAAGCAUGCUAGCCAUGCCAAAAAGGAGAGAGACGCCAAAUAUACUUCUAUCAUCACAAACUCACCUCUCUGACACACUAACAAAUACAACCUGUCUUCUAGUACUAACUCCAAACUUCUUGCACUACAAGUACAACUUCAAGUCCUUUAAUUAGCAAAAACUGCAUUUAUACUACAACGUAUGAAAUAGAAAUCCGGAGCCAUGUUGGCAUCUCAACUAAAGGCUAGAACGGUCACCUCCAGAAUCGCCUACCUAGAAGGAUCCUGUAAUCGGAAAAUUCUUAACCCUCCAAAAAUUUGCAUAUUUGUAUACAAUGCCAGGCAACCUGUAUAACCUACGAGACGAACCCCCCACACCUAACACCCAAGACAUAGAUCAAUUCUUAGAUACUUUCGAACUCCGUCCUGACGGAAAAUGACAGGAAUCAACUCACACGGCUGUUUGACUUAAAGGAGAUACCUGACUUAAUAUCACAAUUGCUAACACAAAAAAAACCAGGACCGGAUGGACUCUCUCACAGAUACUACCAAAUGUUUUCCGACAUACUAUCACCCAACUGCAGACCGUUUUUAACUACUGUUACUCCAAGGGAAUUCUCCCUGCAGAAAUGUUAUUGGCACAUAUUUCCAUGCUCCCUAAGCUGGGUAAAACUACGACCCAGUGUAAACAUUUUAGGCCAAUUUCCCUAUUGAACUGUGAUGCUAAGAUGUAUGCCAAAUUGAUUAGUAACAGGAUAGCACUACUACUGCCCAAACUGGUCCAUAACAACCAAUCUGGUUUCAUGAAAGGACGUCAGGGAUCUAACAGUUCUAGGAUGGAGAUGGAGCGUACUUGUGUCGGAGGCCUUUUCCUUUUGCUAGAUGCAGAAAAGGCCUUCGACGGGCUAAACUGGCAAUACAUGAACAAAGUACUGGAGAAAUUAAACUUCCUGGACAAAAAUAAGUGGAACCGCUCACCUGGAUUAGAGCCCAUAAACCUGGCUCUCAGUUUGAUAGCUUGUGUGUCAAUUAGGGGGCACAAACCCUUUUUUUGAAUAGCUGGAACACUGGAUACUGAAGUCCACAGGAGAAGGUGUAGUUAAAUUAUGUAGUAAAAUGAUAACUAGAGUCCUUUAAGGUGACGUAAUACGGUACGGUACAAGGUUU
Non-coding RNA from Pelobates cultripes (western spadefoot toad), 1355 nucleotides. Lineage: Eukaryota; Metazoa; Chordata; Amphibia; Anura; Pelobatidae. The record is from the annotation of a GenBank genome assembly.